UACGAAGGGGGCUAGCGUUGCUCGGAAUCACUGGGCGUAAAGCGCACGUAGGCGGAUUGCUAAGUCAGGGGUGAAAUCCUGGAGCUCAACUCCAGAACUGCCUUUGAUACUGAAGAUCUCGAGUCCGGGAGAGGUGAGUGGAACUGCGAGUGUAGAGGUGAAAUUCGUAGAUAUUCGCAAGAACACCAGUGGCGAAGGCGGCUCACUGGCCCGAUACUGACGCUGAGGCACGAAAGCGUGGGGAGCAAACAGG
RNAcentral lists this ribosomal RNA (253 nucleotides) under uncultured bacterium. RNAcentral's name for it is "partial 16S ribosomal RNA". It matches the Rfam family "Bacterial small subunit ribosomal RNA", at positions 524 to 776 of the family's 1533-position model. The record is from RNAcentral.